GAAAACGCGAGAACGAUACUCGAAACGAAACAGCCGUCGCACACCGACUGCCACAUCUGAAUUCAUUUCGCACAUCCGCGCCACGAAAGUAGUACGUGUCGGGUCUAAAGUUCAGCCGAACGUACAAGCUCCUACCGGCCGUGAAUCAUGAAAAACCGUCGGGGCUCAUCGUUAGGUGACGCGACGCCCGUAUGCUCGUGUGCGAUAAAAAUUGUCCAACGAAUCAAGCAAGGCGAACGAAGUUGCGAAACCUAUAGAUCACGAGUUACGUACGAUGGUAACAAGGCUGCUUCGUACGUAUAUGAAGGAUCGAGCGAGUAUCACCUUUGCGUUUUGAUCAUAGAUGAUUGAUUUUCGAGUCUGGAUAUCCACAAGGUGGUGAAGAGCUCAGACAGUGGGACCAGAACCAACGACCAGCACUUACCGCGGCCGCGAUCAUUAAAAAGCAGCCGUGUCACUCGCGCGCACAACGAGUUCAACGAAACACGGGAAUGUUGAUCACGUUUCUUCUCUUCGAUGUGAAAUAGACGAACGAAGUCAAGUGUUUGGAUACGCGAGGGAGACAGAAAAGGAGCAAUAGAGUGAUAACAGGGACAGAGAGGUGAGAGGUGGUGAAAGGAGAGCGGCUCGAGAGACGAGAGAAAGAGAGAGGUUAUGUGCAGACGACGACAGGAGAAAUUCCAGCGGGCGGCAGCGCUGAGGUCCACGGAUAGUUCGUCCGUUCCUUCGUUCCCCUCGUCCGAUAAGUGAUGAUUCCACGACGAUGAUUCGAGAGGACCGAUUGGGUGGGACGCGUUUUAGCCUCGUUGGAUCUUCGACGUCCGUUUCAUCGUGUAUAUGCCACAGACCAAUGAUUACGAGUGUAUCUUAAGAACUUGGAGGAUUUCUUCGGACGAGGAACAACGAACGGGGUAAUUAAAUUUCGUUUAUUAUUUUAUGUCCCAAGGUAUAGCCUGCUUUAUCGCAUGUAUAUUCAUUCGAUCUCAUGCUUUGCGUCUUAAAGACGGUGUUUGAUUCGCAACCACUCAAAGAAUCUUCUUUCGAUGAUAUCGUUUCGUGUCUGGACCGCUUCUUCUUGCUCGCUGUUUGAAGGAUCGCUCGAUGUCUCGAACGAAUCCGUGAGUAUAUUGAGGAACGAAUUUAAGAUAUGGGUGUGAUGCACUGUUACGACUUCCUAAUUAAUCACACAAUAUAUAUCACUCUCUCUUUAACGAACUAGGAUAAAUGAAAAGAACGUCGAAAAACGGAUAGGAAGACAGCGCGCACCGGUUAUAUCCCUGGAAACGAUUCGUGCGGAAAGCGAUACGCUGUUCUUCUUCUGCCACCUCCUCCUCCACCGCCUUCUCCUUUUCUACCGAUUCUUUUCAUUCGCGUACGCAUACGUUUUCCCACGCACCGAGGCAAAAAACCACACACUUACGGAGACUGACUGGAGGGAAAGAAUAGCGGGAAAAAGAUGGAGAGAAGAAAGGAACGAGGGAAGAGCGCGACGGUGAUCGGGAGUUGAUGCUAGGGCAUCGCAGAGAGCGGGCAAGGCAGAAAUGUCGGUGUUACUACCAGCUUGGAGUAGCAAGCACCGGUAAAACACGGUCCUAACUAACACACAUGGAGACAGAUUGGGGACUGCUGCUUCGGAGUUUACUAUAGGAUGGGACGGAUGGUGAUGGCGGCCGUAGCAGAGCAGCCACCGCCCCCAUGCUUCUUCUCUCUCUCUUCGUCUCCCUUGUCUUGUUCGACCGCCGCCCCCACCACCGUUUCUCACUGCUAUUUCCCUCCACUCUCUACUUCUCCCCGUAACCGUUCCAACCGUUCUCCUAUUCUCCCCUCUAUGCGUUAUGAUGGACACGCUGGAACUCCCCUCUUCAACAUCCAACUUACCCCCUUUCUCUCCCGCUUCUCUUGCACGCUUCUCUCUACAUUUCCUCCUCUUCCUCUUACUCUUCACAUACAGGUCUCUGCUAUAGCUUUCCCUGGGCUACGAGAUGUUAUCCUCGAGCGAUUCGUGCGUACUAUACAUAUAUUCGUCUACCCGUGUCGUCGCCACAUCCCCUACCUGCGUCGCAUCUCGACGUGUGCGUUGGCCGCAAUCAAGGUCAGGAGCGUAACCGGCUAGCUAUGGCACCCCGCCCUAUCGAUUCUAUAUACCACGGUUUCAUUACGAUGACGACGUCGACGACGAUACAAAGGGGGUAGCCAGAGGGAACUUAUGUAGUCGAGCAGUGUUGUUUUCACUAAUAUAGCGGUUUAUGGAUCGCGGUGGUGUUCCGUUAUCGUGGCGCAUUCGUUUACCGGAAACCUGGUAUCUUUUGGCUCAUUGGCUCACAGAUGUGAUUACCUCGUUAUUUAUCUGCUGAAAGGAAGGAUGCGUGUUGCGCCGAUAUUGUAUUUACUUUUAUAUAGCUUCCUCUUCACGUGUUCUAUGCGCAUCCUCCAAGAUACUUCGCUGAAAUACCAGUCGAAUGGGGGUGUGUAAAUCUACGAGAAUGUUGCUAUCAAGUAUAUUCACGUCCAAUAAAUUCUCGUAGCAAUUUCGUAAAGGAAAACAGCUUUCGUGUAAGACGAAGGUGAUGGAACGAAAAGAUGUUAGAAAGAUGAAUUAGUUUCUUCUUUAAUUUUUUUGAGGUCGUUUGUCAAGUCAAUUUGUCAAUUGAAAAAUUCAAUAUCGUUUCGUGAUGUUUAUACAUAUCACGAGAUAUUUUGCAAUCACGGCUCGAAUACCUCGGACUCUCCCGGAGGGGAAACGAGAUAACAUUCGGUAGCGCGUGCGGUUAUCUUCGUCGAUUCCCUUGACUUUUCACCGCCGUGAGGUAUGUAAAUACGUUUUAAAGUAGACAAGAAGCUCUUAUUCGCGAUGCAAUCUACGUAACAACGUCGCAUCGGUAUCAACGAAAUUUUCCAUUCUCUCCUCUUCCUAGCAAGAAUAGUUCAACAAUAAACAAUUCUAUCAUCACGAAAAUAUAUACAGUGGCUAAGAAAAGUAUUUGUAUAUAUAUACCCUUAUUUCAUGACGUAUCUUUUUAUCAGACCACGGUUUCCUUCGAAUAAACGUCAGAUAAACGUGCGCGCACCGCAAGAAAGAGAGAACGCAGGAAAGCGAAGUUAACCCGCAGGCUUGGUCGAGCUACAAGGUAGCUUAUCGUCGGCAACUACGAUAUUGAUGGCUAAUGUGUACGUACAGCCGCGACGAAAGCAGAGACGGCAAGCAGUGGCGGCAGUGUCCGAUACUAUUAUUAGUGUGCAGCUGCCUGCGAAUUACUGAAUGAAAGGGAAGGACCGCUUCGAAACAAUAUCCGAAAGAGACGGGAGGCACGCUGCAUCGUUUAAAGCGACAGCCAUCCGACGAUUAUUUAGAGUCAGAUUUACGCGUGUACAUCUAUGUAUGCGUGCGCCAUCGAACGAAAGCGUCGCGCGUAGUCGUCAUGAAUCGAUUGAUUUGUAAAUUAAUGUAUAUUCCUUCGUACUUGGAUUCAAUCAAACCUUGAAUAUUACAUGAAUCGAUCAACAUGAAAAUUUAAUACUGAACUUAUUGUCCAAUGGAGCAAGGUAAGAACGACCGUAAUAUAUUAUUUUGAAAGUCAUCUAUCACACGUUCGAGUAUACGUAUCAGGUUACGAGAGAAGUAUGGACAAUUAUUUAGCGUCACGUUGAUUGCUUGCUUUGAAUAUCAGCGAAAGACUGGACUGAAUUUUCUCUGAUGAGUAUAAACGUUGAUUCACAUACGAGUAGGGAAUUGUUCAUGAAACUAAUUUGUGAGAUAGUCAUACGUUUAUUUCAGUCCUGAGCCACAUAGAAGAACAAACAUAUUGUACAUAUGUACUUACGUGUUAUUACAUACUUCACAUUUGAGACGAUUGGAACUGUAUCAGGAAAACCUUCUGAAUAAACAGUUCCUUUUUUGACUCUUAUAUAUA
This is a long non-coding RNA of Bombus impatiens (common eastern bumble bee), 3911 nucleotides long. RefSeq lists it as uncharacterized. The transcript is spliced from 3 exons. Lineage: Eukaryota; Metazoa; Arthropoda; Insecta; Hymenoptera; Apidae. The record is from RefSeq and is a predicted model, not a curated record.